This 138-nucleotide ribosomal RNA is filed under the name Leucocoprinus gongylophorus. RNAcentral describes it as "Leucoagaricus gongylophorus partial 5.8S ribosomal RNA". It matches the Rfam family "5.8S ribosomal RNA", at positions 19 to 154 of the family's 154-position model. Rfam says of the family: 5.8S ribosomal RNA (5.8S rRNA) is a component of the large subunit of the eukaryotic ribosome. It is transcribed by RNA polymerase I as part of the 45S precursor that also contains 18S and 28S rRNA. Lineage: Eukaryota; Fungi; Basidiomycota; Agaricomycetes; Agaricales; Agaricaceae. The record is from RNAcentral.
GAUUCUCGGCUCGUGAGUCGAUGAAGAACGCAGCGAAAUGCGAUAAGUAAUGUGAAUUGCAGAAUUCAGUGAAUCAUCGAAUCUUUGAACGCACCUUGCACUCCUUGGUAUUCCGAGGAGCAUGCCUGUUUGAGUGUC